AGAGUUUGAUCAUGGCUCAGAACGAACGCUGGCGGCGUGCUUAACACAUGCAAGUCGAACGUGAUCCAGAGCUUGCUCUGGUGAAAGUGGCGCACGGGUGAGUAACGCGUGGAUAACCUGCCCUGGUAUCUGGGAUAACAUCUCGAAAGGGGUGCUAAUACCGGAUAAGCCUACGGGGUCCUCGGACUCUGCAGGAAAAGGUGGCCUCUAUUUAUAAGCUACCGUAUCAGGAUGGGUCCGCGUACCAUUAGCUAGUUGGUGGGGUAAUGGCCCACCAAGGCGACCAUGGUUAGCUGGUCUGAGAGGAUGAUCAGCCACACUGGAACUGAGACACGGUCCAGACUCCUACGGGAGGCAGCAGUGGGGAAUUUUGCGCAAUGGGGGAAACCCUGACGCAGCAACGCCGCGUGAGUGAUGAAGGCUUUCGGGUCGUAAAGCUCUGUCAGAGGGGAAGAAAUGAGCCUGGCUAAUAUCCAGGUUUCUUGACGGUACCCUCAAAGGAAGCACCGGCUAACUCCGUGCCAGCAGCCGCGGUAAUUC
Molecule: ribosomal RNA, 540 nt
Filed under: uncultured bacterium
Lineage: Bacteria
Description: bacterial SSU rRNA
Rfam family: Bacterial small subunit ribosomal RNA
Source: RNAcentral